AGAGUUUGAUCCUGGCUCAGAUUGAACGCUGGCGGCAGGCUUAACACAUGCAAGUCGAGCGGGGGAAGGUAGCUUGCUACCGGACCUAGCGGCGGACGGGUGAGUAAUGCUUAGGAAUCUGCCUAUUAGUGGGGGACAACAUCUCGAAAGGGAUGCUAAUACCGCAUACGUCCUACGGGAGAAAGCAGGGGAUCUUCGGACCUUGCGCUAAUAGAUGAGCCUAAGUCGGAUUAGCUAGUUGGUGGGGUAAAGGCCUACCAAGGCGACGAUCUGUAGCGGGUCUGAGAGGAUGAUCCGCCACACUGGGACUGAGACACGGCCCAGACUCCUACGGGAGGCAGCAGUGGGGAAUAUUGGACAAUGGGGGGAACCCUGAUCCAGCCAUGCCGCGUGUGUGAAGAAGGCCUUAUGGUUGUAAAGCACUUUAAGCGAGGAGGAGGCUACUUUAGUUAAUACCUAGAGAUAGUGGACGUUACUCGCAGAAUAAGCACCGGCUAACUCUGUGCCAGCAGCCGCGGUAAUACAGAGGGUGCGAGCGUUAAUCGGAUUUACUGGGCGUAAAGCGUGCGUAGGCGGCUUAUUAAGUCGGAUGUGAAAUCCCCGAGCUUAACUUGGGAAUUGCAUUCGAUACUGGUGAGCUAGAGUAUGGGAGAGGAUGGUAGAAUUCCAGGUGUAGCGGUGAAAUGCGUAGAGAUCUGGAGGAAUACCGAUGGCGAAGGCAGCCAUCUGGCCUAAUACUGACGCUGAGGUACGAAAGCAUGGGGAGCAAACAGGAUUAGAUACCCUGGUAGUCCAUGCCGUAAACGAUGUCUACUAGCCGUUGGGGCCUUUGAGGCUUUAGUGGCGCAGCUAACGCGAUAAGUAGACCGCCUGGGGAGUACGGUCGCAAGACUAAAACUCAAAUGAAUUGACGGGGGCCCGCACAAGCGGUGGAGCAUGUGGUUUAAUUCGAUGCAACGCGAAGAACCUUACCUGGCCUUGACAUACUAGAAACUUUCCAGAGAUGGAUUGGUGCCUUCGGGAA
This 1024-nucleotide ribosomal RNA is filed under the name uncultured Acinetobacter sp. RNAcentral describes it as "bacterial SSU rRNA". It matches the Rfam family "Bacterial small subunit ribosomal RNA", at positions 8 to 1026 of the family's 1533-position model. The record is from RNAcentral. Lineage: Bacteria; Pseudomonadati; Pseudomonadota; Gammaproteobacteria; Moraxellales; Moraxellaceae.